This 275-nucleotide long non-coding RNA is filed under the name Homo sapiens (human). RNAcentral describes it as "HSALNT0409598". The record is from RNAcentral. Lineage: Eukaryota; Metazoa; Chordata; Mammalia; Primates; Hominidae.
GCGCCAUUUUUUUCGAAACCUCUGCGCCAUGAGAGCCAAGUGGAGGAAGAAGCGAACGCUCAGGCUGAAGCGCCAAAGAAGAAAGAUGAGGCAGAAGUCCAAGUAAACCGCUAGCUUGUUGCACCGUGGAGGCCACAGGAGCAGAAACAUGGAACACCAGACGCUGGGGAUGCUGGUACAAGUUGUGGGACUACAUGCUACUGCCUAGAGCUUGUCUCAAUGGAUCUAGAACUUCAUCGCCCUCUGAUCGCCGAUCACCUCUGAAACCUCACCCG